GCUCAGCCGGAGGUAGGGUCCA
This 22-nucleotide non-coding RNA is filed under the name Arabidopsis thaliana (thale cress). Lineage: Eukaryota; Viridiplantae; Streptophyta; Magnoliopsida; Brassicales; Brassicaceae. The record is from RNAcentral.